AGAAUCAACGCUGGCGGCGUGCCUAACACAUGCAAGUCGAACGAGAAAGUGGAGCAAUCCAUGAGUACAGUGGCGCACGGGUGAGUAACACGUGACUAACCUACCCUUGAGUGGGGGAUAACCUAGGGAAACCUGGGCUAAUACCGCAUAAUACCUUACGGGUCAAAGGAGCAAUUCGCUUUAGGAGGGGUCGCGGCCCGAUUAGUUAGUUGGCGGGGUAAUGGCCCACCAAGACUGUGAUCGGUA
Molecule: ribosomal RNA, 246 nt
Filed under: uncultured bacterium
Lineage: Bacteria
Description: partial small subunit ribosomal RNA
Rfam family: Bacterial small subunit ribosomal RNA
Source: RNAcentral